This 388-nucleotide ribosomal RNA is filed under the name uncultured bacterium. RNAcentral's name for it is "bacterial SSU rRNA". It matches the Rfam family "Bacterial small subunit ribosomal RNA", at positions 28 to 417 of the family's 1533-position model. The record is from RNAcentral.
GACGAACGCUGGCGGCGUGCUUAACACAUGCAAGUCGAGCGGUAAGGCCCUUUCGGGGGUACACGAGCGGCGAACGGGUGAGUAACACGUGGGUGACCUGCCCUCAGCUCUAGGAUAAGCCUGGGAAACCGGGUCUAAUACUGGAUAUGACUCCAUGACGCAUGUUGUGGGGUGGAAAGCCUUGUGCGGCUGAGGAUGGGCCCGCGGCCUAUCAGCUUGUUGGUGGGGUGANGGCCUACCAAGGCGACGACGGGUAGCCGGCCUGAGAGGGCGACCGGCCACACUGGGACUGAGACACGGCCCAGACUCCUACGGGAGGCAACAGUGGGGAAUCUUGCGCAAUGGGCGAAAGCCUGACGCAGCGACGCCGCGUGAGGGAUGACGGCCU